Paramuricea clavata is the source of this 92-nucleotide non-coding RNA. Lineage: Eukaryota; Metazoa; Cnidaria; Anthozoa; Malacalcyonacea; Plexauridae. The record is from the annotation of a GenBank genome assembly.
CUUACAAAGUUUGCAAAUUUUGUAUACUUUUGUAUUGCAUGCGAAAAUUGCAAAACAAAAGUAUACAAAAUUUGCAAACUUUGGAAGGCUAU